UGAUGAACAUAUCUAAACAGUUUUCUCAAUUUUUAAAUGCAAAAGUUUUUUUUGGGUUGUUAUUUGUUAAAACAAGAUGCAAACAAUGCACAUUUUUGGAUAUGGGAAAAAGGAUAUGGCAUAGCAUGUCAACUCAAUAUGAAUGUCCAAGGUGAAGCCAGUCUCAUGAGUUGACAUUCUGAAAGCAUUCCUCUGAAAUAACUGAUUGUUGCCUAGCUAAAUAUUCCAACAAAACUCUCUGCCUUAUUUUCUGAUUUGAUUUUAAUCCCAUCUUUCUCUCAGUGCUAGCCUAUGACCCAAGCCAUUGGUUAAUGGGAAGGGAGAUUAAUACCUUUGCCACCAGGACCUCUCAGUCAAAGAUCCAUCCUUGAGUGGCAACAGGGUUAGAAACCUCCCUCUCCCUGACCCCUCCACAGAGUCUUUUGUUUUUAAGUCCCAGACCCUCUUCUCUGACUUAUUUUGUUUCAGCAACUUCUUUCUCCACUUGAUGUUAUCUGGUGCAGACGGCCUCAGAGCCCUGCCCAAUCAGCUGCCAUCCAGAAAGAAGAUAAAAGACCAGUUGGCAAACUCCAGAGAAGUCACUUCCUUUUCGUCCAUCCUCACAGGCUGUUCGAUGGGGUGCAGUUUUUUCCUAGGGAUGUGGGGACCACGGAAUAUUCAGGGCUGGAUGUUAUUAGCUAGUUUUGUCAUCUUCUACUUCAGCCUAGGAGGAGAUGCUAUAAAAUGCCAAAGCUGCAUUCGUCAGCACUGGGACAAAGCAUGUCUUCCUAUUCAGAACACAUGUGAAAUUGCCAGUGCAACAGCUGUCUGCGGCGUCAAGAAGCACACUAAGUAUAGAGCAGACGGAAAAGUUUUAUCGGUGGCAAAGUGGAAGGACUGUUAUGUGGACAAAAGUGACUGUGAGAAGAAGUUGAAAUUAUCAUAUGAUCCAAAAACAAUGGAAAUCAAAUGCUGUUCCAAUGAGGACUUUUGCAAUGGCAACGUGUAGUUGGAGUUAACGCCAGUGUAACACAGAAGGACUAUUGACCUAACAACCCUGGACCUUGUCUUCUUUCUCCUGACUUUGUCCUGAGGAAGGCAUAAUAUGUAUAUGUAUAAUUUCAGACUUUUUAUUUAGCAUUGCUUCUCUCUGAUUCUUUGUAUAAUCAUCCCAUUUUAAGUCCCCCCCAAUAAAAGAAUGACAUGAAAAUGCA
Molecule: long non-coding RNA, 1193 nt
Filed under: Pogona vitticeps (central bearded dragon)
Lineage: Eukaryota; Metazoa; Chordata; Lepidosauria; Squamata; Agamidae
Description: lncRNA (ENSPVIG00000012330.1)
Source: RNAcentral